Non-coding RNA from Mesocricetus auratus (golden hamster), 353 nucleotides. Lineage: Eukaryota; Metazoa; Chordata; Mammalia; Rodentia; Cricetidae. The record is from Rfam.
GAAUCAAGGGCUACUGCAACAUCUGUCACCCCAUUGAUUUCCAGGGUUGAUUCAGCUGAUCUGGCUGUCUAGGCGGGUGUCCCCUUUCGCCCUCACCACUCCAUGUGCGUCCCUCCCAAAGCUGUGUGCUCGGUCGAAGAGGAGGACUUUCCCCAAAUAGAGGAGGACCGGUCUUCCAGUCAAGGGUAUACGAGUAGCUGCACUCCCCUGCUAGAACCUCAAUACAAGCUCUCAAGAACCGAGGGCUGCCAGAGUAACAUAAUAGUGUGGAGUCACCACUGAGCCAGGAGGGAGACUUAGGUUUGAAGGACAACUCUUUAGCUGAGAUUUCUCUCUUUCUCUUGCCUGUCUUU